UACGUAGGGUGCGAGCGUUAAUCGGAAUUACUGGGCGUAAAGUGUGCGCAGGCGGCUUGGCAAGUCGAGUGUGAAAUCCCCGGGCUUAACUUGGGAAUUGCGCUCGAAACUACGUGGCUGGAGUGUGGCAGAGGAAGGUGGAAUUCCACGUGUAGCGGUGAAAUGCGUAGAGAUGUGGAGGAACACCAAUGGCGAAGGCAGCCUUCUGGGCCAACACUGACGCUCAUGCACGAAAGCGUGGGGAGCAAACAGG
Molecule: ribosomal RNA, 253 nt
Filed under: uncultured bacterium
Lineage: Bacteria
Description: partial 16S ribosomal RNA
Rfam family: Bacterial small subunit ribosomal RNA
Source: RNAcentral